Molecule: non-coding RNA, 2051 nt
Organism: Zootoca vivipara (common lizard)
Lineage: Eukaryota; Metazoa; Chordata; Lepidosauria; Squamata; Lacertidae
Source: RefSeq, a predicted model, not a curated record
CUGGAGAGAGCAAUGCUUGCUCCCCAAGCCAACCCCAAACACUUAACAGUUUGCCGACCCACACCUACUUUCUCCUACAGGGCUGCAUAAGCAGUGACCGGCUACGAGGACUUUUAUUCCUGUCGCCCAGCCAGUCUUUCAGAAUUUCACCAUGGAUGAACUGGCUAAUGCAAACACACAUUUUGCCCUUGAUCUGUUCCAAAAGUUCAAUGAAUCCAACCCAACAGGCAACAUCUUCUUUUCACCCUUUAGCAUAUCUAUUACCCUAGCUAUGAUUUUCUUGGGGACCAAGGGAAAAACAGCAGCACAGCUCUCAAAGACAUUUCACUUUGAUGAUGUUGAAGACCUUCAUUCAAGAUUCCAGGCAUUCAAUACUGAGAUUAAUAGUAGUGCACCCUAUACUGUAUAUUGAAGCUCGCUAAUAAGCUGCACAGAGAAAAGACAUGCACCUUUUUGCAGGUGGCUCCAUAGAAUUCUGAUUGUCAUCUUCCUCACCUGUUUGGGAGUCAGGGAGGAAAGAGAAUCCUGUUAGGCUUUCAAGAAAGACAAGAAAGAAACUGAACACCCGUCAAUCCCAAUGUGCACCUUCUCUUAUUUUCACACCGUCUCCAUUCUCUACUGUCCUCGCUAUGUUCCAAAUUUUUAGGAAUGCGGAGGAGAUAAUGGCAAGAGUAACACAUGAUCCCUCCAUUCAUAUGUAAUAAAGGAUCUUCAUUGGAAUGGGCUCCUUAAACACAUCUCUGUAUUUUUCAUUUUCAAUUGAGGAAAUGAUCUCAGGCUCGAGUAACAGUAUCUUCUAUGAGUAAUUAGCAAAACUUAAGUGUUGUUAUGCCACAUGCAACGGUGAGAAUAUUGCAGUAUAUUAGAACAUAAGAAGAGCCUGCUGGAUCAGCAAAGGCCCACCUAAUCCAGCGUCCUGUUGUCUCAGGGGCCAACCAGAUGACUGUGGGAAACCAGCAAGCAGAUUUGAACACAAGAGCCCUCUGCCUUCCUGUGCUUUCCAGAAACUAGUACAGUGGUACCUUGGUUCUCAAACUUAAUCCAUUCCGGAAGUACGUAACAAAACCAAAGCGUGCCAAAACAAAAGUGUGCCUUCGCAUAGAAAAUAAUGCAAAAUGGAUUCAUCAAUUGCAGAUUUUUUUUAAAAAAAUCCUAAAACAGUACUUUAACAUGAAUUUUACCAUCUUGCGAGACCAUUGAUCCAUAAAAUGAAAUCAAUAAACAAUAUACUGUACUAUAAAAUAAGACAGGAUUGUAGAUGAUAAAAAUUAAAAUUACUUUUCCCCCCUUACCUGCAGUUGAUAGUCAUUGUUUGGAUGGGGGGCUUUAAUCCAUUUCCGCAGUCACACAAUCAAUCAAUCAAUCAAUCAAUCAGUGACACGGACACAAAAACAAAUGAACUGAAAAAGCCUCCAAAACAAAAAUGUAAAAUAAAUCACAAAAACAAAAGUUGCACUGCGAAAUAAAUAAGCUCCAGACCACUUAAACAGACAGCACUUUCAUGCUUGGAAAUAAUUUGCUUCUUUAUAUAUUUACAUUUUUUUUCUUACCUGCACUGAUGAUAGUCAUUGUUUGGAUGGGGGGCUUUAAUCCAUCCAUACAAUCAAUCAAUCAAUCAAUCAGUGACACGGACACAAAAACAAAUGAACUGAAAAAGCCUCCAAAACAAAAAUGUAAAAUAAAUCACAAAAACAAAAGUUGCACUGCGAAAUAAAUAAGCUCCAGACCACUUAAACAGACAGCACUUUCAUGCUUGGAAAUAAUUUGCUUCUUUAUAUAUUUACAUUUUUUUUCUUACCUGCACUGAUGAUAGUCAUUGUUUGGAUGGGGGGCUUUAAUCCAUUUCCGCAGUCACACAAUCAAUCAAUCAAUCAAUCAAUUAAUCAGUGACACAGUCACAAAAACAAAUGAACCGAAAAAGCCUCCAAAACAAAAAUGUAAAAUAAAUCACAAAAACAAAAGUUGCACUGCGAAAUAAAUAAGCUCCAGACCACUUAAACAGACAGCACUUUCAUGCUUGGAAAUAAUUUGCUUCUUUAUAUAUAGGGAAG